GGAAAAGGACAAACUAACGUCGCCCACAUGCUGUUGCUACAUUGCAGACGGAUGUGGGCCCUGCCGGACCACGAAUUCAGGAGAGCACUCGGCCCAUCCCUCCUCCAGGUCCGGAGCGCCCGCCGCCGGGGGUCUCGCUCUCGCCGCGCGCGUCAUCCACCACGCCGCAACUGCGAGCACCGCAGCCUCCGCUCCACCGCCGGCGCGGACCUCCGACCAGCGCGCGGCGGCCAUCGCGACGCGGAGCGGGACGCGACGACGGCACGCGGGCCCCGCCGCGACCCUCUUCCUCCUGGCCCACCCCCCCUCCAGCACG
This 316-nucleotide unclassified non-coding RNA is filed under the name Zea mays. Its description in RNAcentral is "misc RNA Zm00001eb206890". Lineage: Eukaryota; Viridiplantae; Streptophyta; Magnoliopsida; Poales; Poaceae. The record is from RNAcentral.